Molecule: ribosomal RNA, 529 nt
Filed under: uncultured Nitrospira sp.
Lineage: Bacteria; Pseudomonadati; Nitrospirota; Nitrospiria; Nitrospirales; Nitrospiraceae
Description: bacterial SSU rRNA
Rfam family: Bacterial small subunit ribosomal RNA
Source: RNAcentral
UUGCGCAAUGGGCGAAAGCCUGACGCAGCGACGCCGCGUGGGGGAUGAAGGUCUUCGGAUUGUAAACCCCUUUCGGGAGGGAAGAUGGAAUGGGGUAACCCAUUCGGACGGUACCUCCAGAAGCAGCCACGGCUAACUUCGUGCCAGCAGCCGCGGUAAUACGAAGGUGGCAAGCGUUGUUCGGAUUUACUGGGCGUACAGGGAGCGUAGGCGGUUCGGUAAGCCCUCUGUGAAAUCUCCAGGCUUAACCUGGAACAGUCGGAGGGGACUGCUGGGCUAGAGGACGGGAGAGGAGCGCGGAAUUCCCGGUGUAGCGGUGAAAUGCGUAGAGAUCGGGAGGAAGGCCGGUGGCGAAGGCGGCGCUCUGGAACGUUUCUGACGCUGAGGCUCGAAAGCGUGGGGAGCAAACAGGAUUAGAUACCCUAGUAGUCCACGCCUUAAACUAUGAAUACUAAGUGUCGGCGGGUUACCGCCGGUGCCGCAGCUAACGCAUUAAGUAUUCCGCCUAGGAAGUACGGCCGCAAGGUUG